This 75-nucleotide transfer RNA is filed under the name Clostridiales bacterium. Its description in RNAcentral is "tRNA-Thr". It matches the Rfam family "tRNA". Rfam says of the family: Transfer RNA (tRNA) molecules are approximately 80 nucleotides in length. Their secondary structure includes four short double-helical elements and three loops (D, anti-codon, and T loops). Further hydrogen bonds mediate the characteristic L-shaped molecular structure. tRNAs have two regions of fundamental functional importance: the anti-codon, which is responsible for specific mRNA codon recognition, and the 3' end, to which the tRNAs corresponding amino acid is attached (by aminoacyl-tRNA synthetases). tRNAs cope with the degeneracy of the genetic code in two manners: having more than one tRNA (with a specific anti-codon) for a particular amino acid; and 'wobble' base-pairing, i.e. permitting non-standard base-pairing at the 3rd anti-codon position. The record is from RNAcentral. Lineage: Bacteria; Bacillati; Bacillota; Clostridia; Eubacteriales. RNAcentral also lists the same sequence under 1 other name.
GCUAGUGUAGCACAGGGGUAGUGCAGCUGAUUCGUAAUCAGCAGGUCGUGAGUUCGAAUCUCUCCACUAGCUCCA